UACGUAGGGUGCGAGCGUUGUCCGGAAUUAUUGGGCGUAAAGGGCUCGUAGGCGGUUUGUCGCGUCGGGAGUGAAAACACCGGGCUUAACUCGGUGCUUGCUUUCGAUACGGGCAGACUAGAGGUAUGCAGGGGAGAACGGAAUUCCUGGUGUAGCGGUGAAAUGCGCAGAUAUCAGGAGGAACACCGGUGGCGAAGGCGGUUCUCUGGGCAACAACUGACGCUGAGGAGCGAAAGCGUGGGGAGCGAACAGG
RNAcentral lists this ribosomal RNA (253 nucleotides) under uncultured bacterium. RNAcentral's name for it is "partial 16S ribosomal RNA". It matches the Rfam family "Bacterial small subunit ribosomal RNA", at positions 524 to 776 of the family's 1533-position model. The record is from RNAcentral.